RNAcentral lists this ribosomal RNA (511 nucleotides) under uncultured bacterium. RNAcentral's name for it is "bacterial SSU rRNA". It matches the Rfam family "Bacterial small subunit ribosomal RNA", at positions 501 to 1014 of the family's 1533-position model. The record is from RNAcentral.
CUACGUGCCAGCAGCCGCGGUAAUACGGAAGGUCCGGGCGUUAUCCGGAUUUAUUGGGUUUAAAGGGAGCGUAGGCCGGAGAUUAAGUGUGUUGUGAAAUGUAGACGCUCAACGUCUGACUUGCAGCGCAUACUGGUUUCCUUGAGUACGCACAACGUUGGCGGAAUUCGUCGUGUAGCGGUGAAAUGCUUAGAUAUGACGAAGAACUCCGAUUGCGAAGGCAGCUGACGGGAGCGCAACUGACGCUUAAGCUCGAAGGUGCGGGUAUCGAACAGGAUUAGAUACCCUGGUAGUCCGCACAGUAAACGAUGGAUGCCCGCUGUUGGUACCUGGUAUCAGCGGCUAAGCGAAAGCAUUAAGCAUCCCACCUGGGGAGUACGCCGGCAACGGUGAAACUCAAAGGAAUUGACGGGGGCCCGCACAAGCGGAGGAACAUGUGGUUUAAUUCGAUGAUACGCGAGGAACCUUACCCGGGCUUGAAUUGCAGAGGAAGGAUUUAGAGAUAAUGACG